This 38-nucleotide ribosomal RNA is filed under the name Cyclaneusma niveum (needle-cast of pine). Its description in RNAcentral is "partial 18S ribosomal RNA". Lineage: Eukaryota; Fungi; Ascomycota; Leotiomycetes; Marthamycetales; Marthamycetaceae. The record is from RNAcentral.
CUUGGUCAUUUAGAGGAAGUAAAAGUCGUAACAAGGUU